RNAcentral lists this ribosomal RNA (383 nucleotides) under uncultured archaeon. Its description in RNAcentral is "bacterial SSU rRNA". It matches the Rfam family "Archaeal small subunit ribosomal RNA", at positions 95 to 471 of the family's 1478-position model. The record is from RNAcentral.
AACACGUGGCCAACCUGCCCUGUGGACAGGUAUAACCUCGGGAAACUGAGGCUAAUACCUGAUAGCGGAGCUCCUCUGGAAAUUGAGAGCUCCGUGAAAUGUUCCGACGCCACAGGAUGGGGCCGCGGCUGAUUAGGUUGUUGGUGAGGUAAAAGCUCACCAAGCCGAUAAUCAGUAGCAGCCGUGAGAGCGGGAGCUGUCAGUCGGCUUCUGAGACAAGAAGCCGGACCCUACGGGGUGCAGCAGGCACGAAACCUUUACAAUGCACGAGAGUGCGAUAAGGGGACUCCGAGUGCGUCUUCCUUACAAAGGAGGACGCUUUUCUGCACUGUAAGGAGGUGCAGGAACAAGGGGUGGGCAACACUGCUGCCAGCCGCCGCGGU